AACAGGAUUAGAUACCCUGGUAGUCCACGCUGUAAACGAUGUCGACUUGGAGGUUGUGCCCUUGAGGCGUGGCUUCCGGAGCUAACGCGUUAAGUCGACCGCCUGGGGAGUACGGCCGCAAGGUUAAAACUCAAAUGAAUUGACGGGGGCCCGCACAAGCGGUGGAGCAUGCGGUUUAAUUCGAUGCAACGCGAAGAACCUUACCUACUCUUGACAUCCAGAGAAUUUGCUAGAGAUAGCUUAGUGCCUUCGGGAACUCUGAGACAGGUGCUGCAUGGCUGUCGUCAGCUCGUGUUGUGAAAUGUUGGGUUAAGUCCCGCAACGAGCGCAACCCUUAUCCUUUGUUGCCAGCACGUAAUGGUGGGAACUCAAAGGAGACUGCCGGUGAUAAACCGGAGGAAGGUGGGGCUGACGUCAAGCCAUCGUGGCCCUUACGAGUAGGGCUACACACGUGCUACAAUGGCAUAUACAAAGAGAAGCGAACUCGCGAGAGCAAGCGGACCUCAUAAAGUAUGUCGUAGUCCGGAUUGGAGUCUGCAACUCGACUCCAUGAAGUCGGAAUCGCUAGUAAUCGUAGAUCAGAAUGCUACGGUGAAUACGUUCCCGGGCCUUGUACACACCGCCCGUCACACCAUGGGAGUGGGUUGCAAAAGAAGUAGGUAGCUUAACCUUCGGGGGGGCGCUUACCACUUUGUGAUUCAUGACUGGGGUGAAGUCGUAACAAGGUAACC
This 731-nucleotide ribosomal RNA is filed under the name uncultured bacterium. RNAcentral's name for it is "bacterial SSU rRNA". It matches the Rfam family "Bacterial small subunit ribosomal RNA", at positions 771 to 1501 of the family's 1533-position model. The record is from RNAcentral.